AGUCACUGACAUUAGACUACCCCCGUAGUCCCAGCCGUAAACUAUGCGCGUUAGGUGUAUCGGUGACCACGAGUCACCGAGGUGCCGAAGGGAAACCGUGAAACGUGCCGCCUGGGAAGUACGGUCGCAAGGCUGAAACUUAAAGGAAUUGGCGGGGGAGCACAACAACGGGUGGAGCCUGCGGUUUAAUUGGACUCAACGCCGGACAACUCACCGGGGACGACAGCAAUAUGUAGGCCAGGCUGAAGACCUUGCCUGAAUCGCUG
RNAcentral lists this ribosomal RNA (266 nucleotides) under uncultured archaeon. RNAcentral describes it as "partial 16S ribosomal RNA". It matches the Rfam family "Archaeal small subunit ribosomal RNA", at positions 718 to 982 of the family's 1478-position model. The record is from RNAcentral.